Molecule: long non-coding RNA, 3794 nt
Organism: Hirundo rustica (Barn swallow)
Lineage: Eukaryota; Metazoa; Chordata; Aves; Passeriformes; Hirundinidae
Exons: 4
Source: RefSeq, a predicted model, not a curated record
CGGUAGAGACCCCGCGGCCUGCGCACCAGCCGUGCUUGCCGCAGCGCCCGAGGCUGGGUGCGCGUCGAGAACAGUGUGGUGAGGGAGCAGGGCGAGGGAGGUGAGCCUGCCCCUCUGCUCAGCCCUAGCGAGACCACAUCUGGAGUGCUGUGUCCAGGCUGUUUGACAAAACAGGCAAGGUGCCAUUGACUUUGCAGAAAGAGGAUAAAUACACAAUGUCUUCAUGGAGUGUUUUGUAGCGAGGACACUUGGCUGAAGAAUGGCUCACAGGCACGGACUGGCAGAAGUGAUGCUUGUAAUGCAAGGGUACAUCCAGAACGCCACACUGCCGUGCUGGGAGCAUGAGCUCAAGCACACGGCUCCCUGCUGCACUGUGCGUCACUGACCUGUGUGACCCGCCUUCGGCAAGACACGGCGCUCCGAGUGCCUCUGCUCAGGUGCUAUAUGCCAGAUGGACUUUUUGAAGAGAUUAAAUGAAGGAUCAUUUGUCAAGCAGCUGCAUCAGGAAGGAUUUUUCAUGUGUGGGGGAAUGUACAAGGAAAAGCAUGACAACGUUUGUGUCCCUAUUCCUGUAAUUCACUGGCGGAUCAAGUUUAGUGGAUUCGUAGGGUAUUUGAUUUUAUCAGUCAUUAAAAUCCAAGUAGCUUUCUUAGCUAAUGUUUCAAUUAAAAAUCAAAACAUCUAAAGUCUACCUCUCGAAUGUGCUGUAUGCCAUUGUGUUCUCUAAUAUAUGCCAUUUCUCAGUAGUCUUUCAGUCCAUUUAAUGAACUGUGUUGUCACCUGGUGAAACUGUUGGUCUUGUGAAGUCCCAAUCCAACAAACACGUGUGUGGUUAAAUUCAUUGCUGUGCAGAAACUUGUGAAGGAAAGCCAGCCAUCUGCCUAAAAUUUUGCGUGUGAUAGGAGCUAAGGUUCAUUACGUUUCUCUGAAAAUGCAAGAUCCAUCUUGGCAUUUUAUGUGACCAUACUGCACAUGCAACACAAUGAAGUUAUCAAUGUUUAAAAUAUAAAAGAAAGUCAAAAGUGAAAGAUGGCAAAUCUUUUUCCUCAUGAUGCCAUCAAAAUACAGGAUACAAUCUAAGGUCAGCCAACAAGUUGAUGCUAUGUGGAUUCUUGUUCAAAAGAAGAGUGGCUGACCUGCCUUGGAGAGAUGUUGACAUUAAGAAAGAGCAACCAUAUAAAAACAAAUAUAAAAAUAUAUCAAUAUAUCAAAAAGUAUCAAAUUUGCACAAAUUGAUACCCUGUCUUGGACUUUCAGUAUGCAGUAAAAGGAUGUAACCUGGCUGCAGGCAGAACUGCUGUUGCUCUCCUGCACCUUCAGCUUUUACAGGAGUUAAGUGUAGACUUAAAAAUGCGUUUAUGAAGUACUGUUGGGAUGCUUGGAUUAAUGAUUCUGCUGUUUUACAUGUUGCAAAAUUAAUCACAUUGAUUUAACAGUGUACUUAACUUCUUUGGCAUUAUUUGAAUUAGAUUUCACACUACUGAGCUGGUGGUCUUGUGACACAACAGAGCACUCGUCAUUUCCAUGUGGGUGCUGUGUGCACAGUGGAGGGGUAGCUCAGUCUUGAAAUACUUAUACUGUGAAAAGAAAGAGUUUACUUGGUAGGAAAUGGAGAACCCAUAGUCUGAAUCCAACCCCGUCCAGCUAUCAUGAAAAAUACUGGAAGAAAAUAAAAAAAUCAAACAAAAGCCUGAUAUUCUUUAUUUUUAUUAUAAUUUUAACAACAUGAGUAAAUUGAAAUCUGUAAGCAAAGCAAUUACAUGAAGAGGGUCUAAUAAAGUUGUUCAAGCUACAACCUACUUUGAUUGUUGAAUCAAACUGAAUAAAGCAGGCUGCUUUGAUGGGUUUUUAGCUUCCACGAACAUAAUUGGCAGUGACAUCUUUCAUCUUUUGCUUUAAUGGCAAUGGUCUUCUGUAGGCUGGGAAUUUCAUAAUCAGCUGAAAGUUAAAAAAAAAAAAAAUUAAAAUUGGUCACUACUACAAACAGGAAAAUUGCAGAACCAAGUCCUGUCCUCAGUUCAGCUGGUGAAAUAUCACCAGCUUUGACAAGAUUCGAUUAUUUUAAAAUUCUCCCUGACUUGAGCAGAGAGCAAGUCAAAAUCUGUGGAUCAGAUUUUCAGAGGUUCCAUGACUAAGGGUAAUUAAGGAUCUUAGAAAAGCCCAGCCAAGCAACCCAACCUGACCACUGUAAAGGUGGUUACAGGUUAUUCCCAGAGGAAAAAUCUUACGAGUCGGAACCACAUUUCUUCACAAAAGCUACAGUCAGUGAUCCAGAUUCCAUCCUUGGACUUCAGGGGGAACUUACAAGCUUAGAAAGGGAGUUUUCCCAGGAUCACAGCUAUAAUAUUUGGACUGUAUUGAGGGAGGAGGAGGGCUGGCAUAAUGUAUUUAAAUCAAGAGACAACAACACAUCUGCUUUUGCAGCCACUAAUGUAGCUCCUGGUAGCCGCUUUUUAAUAUCACAUCUCAAACCUUCAGACAAGUGAAACUCGUGGCACGUUCCCAAACCAUGUCCUUCUGUGGUAGUACUGGAAACCACCCAGCAUUAGGAAUUAGGACAUUAGGAAUCUUUGUUUGAUGGCAUUUGGCGUGUUCUUCCGCUUUGGCAGCUUCUCCAAACCUCACCAUCUACCAGCUAGCCUUAUGAAACAUGAGAAGCAUGCCAGUCCUCCUGCUUCCAGCAACCUCACGACCCCUUCCCAAGGAGCAUGUUCUCCAUCCUUUUGAGGACAAGUACCUGCUUUGCUCUCCGUCCAGGAGGCAGUGAUAUGCAGCGAUGUCUUUUUCCAGCUGUUGUUUGCUAGUCAGCAGAUUUUCACGAUCCCUCUGCUGCUGCUCAGUUUCUACUUUGAUUUCUCCCAUCUCUGCCUCCAGCUUGGAAAUGACAGAGCCUAGGUUCUGCAGUUCUAUGUCGUGCCAGUGCUUGGCAUCAUAUAAAGAGUUCUCCAGACCCCUCUUCUGCAAGGACAGGACAGCAGACAAUAAAUCAAUCAGUUUCCAUAUGCUUCAUAGUGAUUUUGGUUCAGGUUUGGCCAGUAUCUCUAUUGACUGUAUAUAUUUUGACAGUUCCUUUCUUUAGCUACCUGGAUAUUAGGUAUUAGCAUUACAAAAGUUGAAGUCCUUUCACAAGGUGCAGAUAUUCCUCACAUUGUCUAGUACUACGCUACCAAGCAAUCUCGGUGAGACUGAGUAUGAAUACACUGAACAUGGAAAUUUGGAGCCUGGUUGUCACGUGUGGUAUGCUUGGAGCACCAUUUCAAUCAAGAGGAGCCCAGAAAUAUCUGGUAUCUCUGGCAACCGUGUCUGGUUGAAAAAGGGAUUCAUUCUUAACUCUGCAUCCCAAGACAGGAAUGUUCCCCUCAGAAGCUGUGUUGAGUUCACAGAGCAUACACCCACUGCAAACCCAGCAUCUCUUACCAAAGUUCUCAAAGAUUCAGUUUCUGCUUGCAAGCUCUGUAUUUUGCAGGCAGUUUCGUGGAACUCGGUUCUGAGGCCCUCCACCAGCUCUUCCUCCUGGGUUCGCACGGCAGCCGUCGUCUCAGCCUGUUGCUGGUGAAAGAAGGCGACUGUCAUCACAACCUACGCAAGUUAUGGUUUAGCUUCCUUACAUACCAAGCUGACAGUAAUAUUUUCACAGUUUGUGGCAAUUCUGACUCUAAGUUUGAUUCCUGUGUAUUAAAUCCCUUGGUUGUACAAUUCUGGAUACAUCUUAGUGUCAAACUUUUCAUAUUUUCUAGGCAUUUACUGUAAAAUGGUUUAUGCAUACAAAUGAAUUUAUGUUAUCCGUGUCAACA